This 265-nucleotide long non-coding RNA is filed under the name Bos taurus (domestic cattle). Its description in RNAcentral is "long non-coding RNA NONBTAT004968". The record is from RNAcentral. Lineage: Eukaryota; Metazoa; Chordata; Mammalia; Artiodactyla; Bovidae.
GUGAGCUCCUAGAGGGCUGAGGUACCUCUGUUGUGAUUCCUAGCUGUGUGGUUAGUACAUGGUGAGCACGCAGAGAUGUGUGGAUGGAUAUUCACAUGGCAUUUUGUAGGGAUAAUUUGGCUAUGAAAUAAUGUUUAAAAUUUUCAGUUUGGUUUUCCUUAAGGAAUCUGAGGGUGGCAUAAAGUACAGGCUGCAAUCUUUUGUCACAUUGUAACAUUUACGAGUGAAUUAAACCGCUUUUCUUAAGAGACAUUUAAAAGACCAU